Molecule: ribosomal RNA, 765 nt
Filed under: uncultured Streptococcus sp.
Lineage: Bacteria; Bacillati; Bacillota; Bacilli; Lactobacillales; Streptococcaceae
Description: bacterial SSU rRNA
Rfam family: Bacterial small subunit ribosomal RNA
Source: RNAcentral
GACGAACGCUGGCGGCGUGCCUAAUACAUGCAAGUAGAACGCUGAAGGAGGAGCUUGCUCUUCUGGAUGAGUUGCGAACGGGUGAGUAACGCGUAGGUAACCUGCCUGGUAGCGGGGGAUAACUAUUGGAAACGAUAGCUAAUACCGCAUAACAGUAGAUGUCGCAUGACAUUUGCUUAAAAGGUGCAAUUGCAUCACUACCAGAUGGACCUGCGUUGUAUUAGCUAGUUGGUGAGGUAACGGCUCACCAAGGCAACGAUACAUAGCCGACCUGAGAGGGUGAUCGGCCACACUGGGACUGAGACACGGCCCAGACUCCUACGGGAGGCAGCAGUAGGGAAUCUUCGGCAAUGGACGGAAGUCUGACCGAGCAACGCCGCGUGAGUGAAGAAGGUUUUCGGAUCGUAAAGCUCUGUUGUAAGAGAAGAACGAGUGUGAGAGUGGAAAGUUCACACUGUGACGGUAUCUUACCAGAAAGGGACGGCUAACUACGUGCCAGCAGCCGCGGUAAUACGUAGGUCCCGAGCGUUGUCCGGAUUUAUUGGGCGUAAAGCGAGCGCAGGCGGUUAGAUAAGUCUGAAGUUAAAGGCUGUGGCUUAACCAUAGUACGCUUUGGAAACUGUUUAACUUGAGUGCAAGAGGGGGAGAGUGGAAUUCCAUGUGUAGCGGUGAAAUGCGUAGAUAUAUGGAGGAACACCGGUGGCGAAUGCGGGCUCUCUGGCUUGUAACUGACGCUGAGGCUCGAAAGCUUGGUGAGCUAACAGG